Molecule: ribosomal RNA, 439 nt
Filed under: uncultured bacterium
Lineage: Bacteria
Description: partial 16S ribosomal RNA
Rfam family: Bacterial small subunit ribosomal RNA
Source: RNAcentral
CCUACGGGAGGCAGCAGUGGGGAAUAUUGCACAAUGGGGGAAACUCGAUGCAGCCACGCCGCGUGAGUGGAGAAGUAUUUUGGUAUGUAAAGCUUCAUCAGCCGGGAAGAGACUGAAGGUACUUGCCUAAGAAGCCCCGGCUAAUUACGUGCCAGGAGCCGCGGUAAUAAGUAGGGGGCGAGCGUUGUCCGGCUUUACUGGGUGUAAAGGGGGCGUAGACGGUUCUACAAGUCUGAAGUGAAAGCCCGGGGCUUAACCGCGGAACUGCAUUGGAAACUGUGGUACUGGAGUGCUGGAGAGGCAAGCGGAAUUCCUAGUGUAGCGGUGAAAUGCGUAGAUAUUAGGAGGAACACCAGUGGCGAAGGCGGCUUGCUGGACAGUAACUGACGUUGAGGCUCGAAAGCGUGGGGAGCAAACAGGAUUAGAUACCCCGGUAGUC